This is a non-coding RNA of Podarcis lilfordi (Lilford's wall lizard), 2236 nucleotides long. Lineage: Eukaryota; Metazoa; Chordata; Lepidosauria; Squamata; Lacertidae. The record is from the annotation of a GenBank genome assembly.
GGGCAGACACCUUGAAGGGAGGUAACUCAUGAAGAGGCCUCUCCACAGACACGCCUGGUGAGCUGCAAGUGGGCAAGGAUAGCAAGAAAAUGAGCCCAGACAACGUUGUCCCAAUGCACAUACAGCUUAUGCCACCAGCCACCAAACCAAGCGCCAGGAAUUCUGAAAUACCAUGUGACAUCUCAACAAACCUGGUCAGCUGCUGCUUGGAGACUCCUGGGGCGCAGUUUGAGAUUCUGACAUGUUCAAGGGUGGCAAAAGGCCUGCUCGCUUAGCAACCACAAAGCGGCAGGACAAAAUGGUUUACUUCUUCUGCUGCCAGUGUUUUGGCUUCUGCUCCUUGCGUUUCUGGGCUCUCAUGUCCUUCUUGAGGCGGCUGUCCACCACUUUGAAGUGGCCUCUGACUCCGGCAGGGCUCCGGAACUUCCACCCAGUGCCCUUUUUGGCCACAAGGUAGGUCACCUGCCGUUUCUCCUUGCCUAUCCCCGCCUUCUUGUAAAUGCUGUUAUUGGAGUGGGAGGGAACACAGGGAAAGUGGGGAGUUACGAGCGAAAGGCUUCUCUUCGGAAUCUCUCAUCAAACCCAAUUCUGCCACCUCUUGAGGAGAAACACCCCUACCACAGGGCCCUUGACCUGCCUGAUCAACCACUUUGCUGUCACCCCUAACCUUCAUUUCCAAAGGAACCCUGGCCUACUGCUCCAGAGUCUCUCAUGUUUAUUGAGUUGCUGUUUUACUUAUUCAAUUCAUAUCCCGCCUUUCCUGCGAAAUAGGGAGGUUGCCCUGCCUCCCUGUCUUCUCCUCACAACAAGCCAGUGAGGUAAGUUUGGCUGAGAGACAGUGACUGUCCCAGCAAGCUUCAUGGCUAGAAUAUGGUGGCUAGGUUGCUUUUGGGGGCAAAGUACUGCCAUCACAUAAUACACCUCGCUUGUGCGAUUUGCACUGACUGCCAAUCCUCCACUGGGUCAAGAUGAAGAUAGAGGUGGGAAGGGAAGAGGAAGGAAGCGGGAUCAGUGGAUGCGCCUUUCAUUCUGCCUGGAACUUCUCUAUCUGAGCUGGCUCCCUGCCUGUUACAUUACGUGUGGGGAAACCCGCGUGGGUUCCUCUCUGUGUAAAGUCUUCAAGCUGUGCCUGCGCGCGCCUGACAAAUCUGCCCCAUUGCCUUUCCCUCGUCAAAAAUUAUCUCUCCCCCCCCACCUCCAGUCUCCGUUGUUGUGUGUCCUGGCUGAGGGUGAAAACAGAAGACAGGGGGGUUGAAAGUACUGGCUGCAAUCCUAUCCUCACCUGGGAGUAAGUCCCCUUGAACUCAGAAGGGCUUGCUUCUGAUUCGACAUGUAUAGGCUUGUAAAUUGUAGCUUGUUUCAGCUGCCACAUCAAGCCAGAAAAUCCCAUGAGAACUGCCAUAAAUCACACAGCAAACACUUUUAUGGUGCACAAAUUGCUGUUUUAAUAUCGUGUAUGGGGGGACGGAUGUAGAAACAGGUCCCUGAAAAAUUAAAAUGAAAGGCAACCUGUCUCAUGAAGAACCUGAGAACAAGGAGACCAAAAAAAACAUGUGUAUGUGUACAUGUUUGAUUAUGACUUACCUCCAAAGGUUUUGAAAUGUAGCAGGUAUCAGAUUGAAAUGAAAUGCAUGCAAUUGGAGCACAUCAGCGUAGCCUGCAUCCCAGGACUCAGUAAGCCACUGUGACCAGAUUGCAAAGUUCUUCAUGGGUAAAAAAAAUCACUCACAUCUGUUCCAAUUUGGACACCACAUUAGCAGUAGUUUCAGAUGUACUUCCUGGUUUGUAUGAGGGUGUGGACAGGAUAAAGUAUUUAGGGCAAUCACCUGCACACUUGACCCUCACCCAUCAGAUGAUUAUGCUGGCCAAGCGCAGUGUUUAAUCCUUCUAUUAGUGCCUUUGAAAAUCAAGGGAGGGGUUUGAAUUGUGCUUCAGAGGAUGGAUUACCAGGUUUAGAAUUUUUAUUCUACAGCAGAGAUUGGCCAGUGUCGUCAUUCACUUUCAAAAAUGGUAGCAGCUUGGGGAGGGUGCUGAGAGACAAGAGGGCAUGGAUGGGGGUAGGAGUUUAACCCUUUCCUCCCUGUGCUACUGUCUGACAUAUUUUCCCUCUCAAACAGCCAUCAUUCCCAUGGGCAUAGUAGCUUCGCCAGUGGCGAAGGAUGUUUCGUUGCAACGAUAUCAUGGGAAGGAAGAGUUAAACUCCCCUUUCUGUCAUGUCGACGUCCUCAUCAGGCUC